GAGCUCAAGGUACGUGGUCCUGCGGCGGCGGCGCUGGCUCUCCGCUCUGCCGCGCUCGCAUCCUGGGCUCUGCUCGCCGCUACCCGGCUUCUCCGGAGUAGUCGCGGGUCCCGCCGGACGGUGAGGGGGCAUCUGGGGCGGGGUGUCCCCGGGCUCAGCGUCCCUCCCCGGGCCGCGACACACAGGCGGCUGUCCCUCACCCUCCCGCGCGGGGCUGCCCUCCGCGUCGCUGUUCCGGCUGGAGGCCACCCGGUGCUCCCCUCCGCGGGUGACAACGGCAGCUGGGCUGCAGGACCCAAGGUCCUCCGUGCCCCGGAGCUGGCCGAGGAUACGGAGGUCGCCCCAUCUCUACUCGAGGUCGCCCGCUUUCCCGGCAAAGUUGUCCGCGGCCACUUUCCCUCCGGUCCCCGCCCGCC
Molecule: long non-coding RNA, 416 nt
Filed under: Rattus norvegicus (Norway rat)
Lineage: Eukaryota; Metazoa; Chordata; Mammalia; Rodentia; Muridae
Description: long non-coding RNA NONRATT011537
Source: RNAcentral